GUCUGUGUGUGUCUGUCUGUAUGUAUGUGUCUGUGUGUGUGUGUGUCUCUGAAUGUAUGUGUCUGUAUGACAUACAGAGACAUACACACAUACAGACACAUACAUACAGACACACACA
Molecule: microRNA precursor, 118 nt
Filed under: Pelobates cultripes (western spadefoot toad)
Lineage: Eukaryota; Metazoa; Chordata; Amphibia; Anura; Pelobatidae
Source: RNAcentral